GUGGAUAGGCUUGGGGCGGGGCGCGGGGGUCACCGUGUAAGGAUCCUAACAGUUUGGGUCCGCGUGGCACCCGGAGGAUCCCAAACACUUACGCCCCCCUCGGCAAUGAGAUCGGCCGAGACAGGCCAGACAUAGCUCAAAAGCACCCACAUCAGGGCCCAGGGCUGGGCCAGGUCGGUCUCCUGGCCUUGGCGCGCGUCAGAGCACUCCCUGAUGUCAAGUCGAGCGUUGCGAGACGCACAGGACCCAGCGAGUCGGUGGCCGCGGUCUCUGCGCGCUGGUACUGCGAGUGCUUUCGCAUUGGAGCUCUGACGACCGGCCGGCCCCUGGAGACUGCUUAGCCUUUCCCAGGCAGCGUCCUUUCCCAAAUCCCUCUGCGCCAGACGAUUCUGCCUGCCUGCACUGCA
RNAcentral lists this long non-coding RNA (407 nucleotides) under Marmota monax (woodchuck). The record is from RNAcentral. Lineage: Eukaryota; Metazoa; Chordata; Mammalia; Rodentia; Sciuridae.